UCAUAAAACCCUAGUUUGUUGCUAUAAAUAGAGGAAUAGAAAGGGAAUUAAGCCACCACAACAUUACACACAAAAAAAGCAACAAAUACAUACAAAAAGUGUCAAAGUUCUCUCUUCAGCAUUGUUGAGAGUUUUUUCACCUUAAAGGAACUAUGAACUCCUUGCUUCCUAGCAGAGCAUUUCCUUCACUCGAGUUACCACCCUUCCAUCAACCUUCACACCACUUGCCAUCACCAUGAGCUCCAUUACCAUUUUCAUUAUUGAGCUCACUUGAACACUUCAUCCCCACCUUUUAUCCACCACCACAACUGCGUCAUUCACAUCAUAGCCUCAAAAUGGAAACCCAAUAAAUCAAAUUAGAUUGGAUUUCAAAGAGAACUCAGAAGAGGAAUGAAAACAAAAGCAUAAAUAACCAAAAAGGAGAUAAGAUUCAAACUUACCUCGCUUUUUUGAGUCGCCGGAAACUGGGUUUCGCUCGCCGAAAUCUUCAUCCCUGUCCAGAAUCUUCAUCAAAAACUUAAAUUUUCCGCCUGAAAACUCAUCAAGCUUGCAAGAAUCUAGAAUUCUGUUUGGUAAUUUUCUUUGUUUUUUUUGCUCGUUUCUUCCAGUGUUCCAUUUUUGCACUAUGUAUAAACCUUUUCCCCUUGAUUUCGCACGUUAAUUCUUCCCAAUUCUUGCAAUCAGAGAACAUUUGGUUUUUUUUUAAGGUUUUCGAGGUUCUUGAUUUUUCCUGUUUAGUUUCCAUAUUUUUUAUGAUUGUCUAAAAUUUGUUUUGAAAGAGAAAAUUGUGGGCUGAAUGUUGAACUUGUGUUGUUUUUAUAGAAAAUUUUGAGAAAAAAGAUUUGUGCGAUGAAUGUUGAAGUCAUGUUAUUUCUAAAAGUCGAGGAAUAAAAUUAUGAGACGGGGGAAGGCACGUGUGUUUGUUGCUAGGAAAUUUGAGAGGAGAAAGGUUUAGCCAUUUAAGUGCAAGAGGCAGUCACCUUCCCGCAUGUGGUCUGCCUCUUUUCUUUCAAAUUAAGUUAGGUUUUUUUUUUGUAAUAGGUUAUUAGAUUGGGCCUAAGGCCAUGGAUCCAUUCCAACACCCAUUUGUUGCUCUUUUGACCCCCUCUUUCGUUAGAUCAAUGCUUAUUGGGCCUCAGACCUAGUGAUAUGCUCUUCACAUUCCCUCCUUACUUUCUCACACACCCUACUGGUAUGGUGAAAGAAACUGGGCCCCUUGGGCCUGGGUGCGUGCAACCUCCCUAGUUUUUUUGUUUGUUUUUAUUAGUUUAUCUUGUUUUGUUAGGCCCAUAAGCCCUUUUGUUCAUCCAAGCCCCCUUUGUCUUUG
This 1327-nucleotide long non-coding RNA is filed under the name Lathyrus oleraceus (garden pea). RNAcentral describes it as "Pisum sativum (pea) long non-coding RNA (PSAT_LNC023272)". Lineage: Eukaryota; Viridiplantae; Streptophyta; Magnoliopsida; Fabales; Fabaceae. The record is from RNAcentral.